AUUGAACGCUGGCGGCAUGCCUUACACAUGCAAGUCGAACGGCAGCACGGGGGCAACCCUGGUGGCGAGUGGCGAACGGGUGAGUAAUGCAUCGGAACGUGCCCAGUAGUGGGGGAUAACUAGUCGAAAGAUUAGCUAAUACCGCAUACGACCUAUGGGUGAAAGCGGGGGAUUCGCAAGAACCUCGCGCUAUCGGAGCGGCCGAUGUCUGAUUAGCUAGNGGCGGGGUAAGGCCCACCAAGGCUUCGAUCAGUAGCUGGUCUGAGAGGACGACCAGCCACACUGGGACUGAGACACGGCCCAGACUCCUACGGGAGGCAGCAGUGGGGAAUUUUGGACAAUGGGCGCAAGCCUGAUCCAGCCAUGCCGCGUGCGGGAAGAAGGCCU
RNAcentral lists this ribosomal RNA (387 nucleotides) under uncultured bacterium. Its description in RNAcentral is "bacterial SSU rRNA". It matches the Rfam family "Bacterial small subunit ribosomal RNA", at positions 29 to 417 of the family's 1533-position model. The record is from RNAcentral.